GUGAACGCUGGCGGUAGGCCUAACACAUGCAAGUCGAACGGCAGCACAGUAAGAGCUUGCUCUUACGGGUGGCGAGUGGCGGACGGGGGAGGAAUACAUCGGAAUCUACUUUUUCGUGGGGGAUAACGUAGGGAAACUUACGCUAAUACCGCAUACGACCUACGGGUGAAAGCAGGGGAUCUUCGGACCUUGCGCGAUUGAAUGAGCCGAUGUCGGAUUAGCUAGUUGGCGGGGUAAAGGCCCACCAAGGCGACGAUCCGUAGCUGGUCUGAGAGGAUGAUCAGCCACACUGGAACUGAGACACGGUCCAGACUCCUACGGGAGGCAGCAGUGGGGAAUAUUGGACAAUGGGCGCAAGCCUGAUCCAGCCAUACCGCGUGGGUGAAGAAGGCCUUCGGGUUGUAAAGCCCUUUUGUUGGGAAAGAAAAGCAGCAGGUUAAUACCCCGCUGUUCUGACGGUACCCAAAGAAUAAGCACCGGCUAACUUCGUG
This 491-nucleotide ribosomal RNA is filed under the name uncultured bacterium. RNAcentral describes it as "partial 16S ribosomal RNA". It matches the Rfam family "Bacterial small subunit ribosomal RNA", at positions 29 to 507 of the family's 1533-position model. The record is from RNAcentral.